GACGAACGCUGGCGGCGUGCUUAACACAUGCAAGUCGAACGGAAAGGCCCUGCUUUUGUGGGGUGCUCGAGUGGCGAACGGGUGAGUAACACGUGAGUAACCUGCCCUUGACUUUGGGAUAACUUCAGGAAACUGGGGCUACUACCGGAUAGGAGCUCCUGUUGCGUGGUGGGGGUUGGAAAGUUUCGGCGGGUGGGGAUGGACUGGCGGCUUAUCAGCUUGUUGGUGGGGUAGUGGCUUACCAAGGCUUUGACGGGUAGCCGGCCUGAGAGGGGGACCGGGCUCAAUACGACUGCGGUACGGAGCAGACUCGUACAGGGGGCAGCAGUCGGAAGUAUGGCACAGUGGGCGGGAGCCUGUUGCGGCAGCGCUGCGUUCGUAAUGACGGUCUGCGGGGUGUGAACCGCAGUCGCCUAUGACGAAGCUGUUGUGACGGUAAUGAAUGAAUAAGCACCGGCUAACUACGUG
RNAcentral lists this ribosomal RNA (468 nucleotides) under uncultured bacterium. RNAcentral describes it as "partial 16S ribosomal RNA". It matches the Rfam family "Bacterial small subunit ribosomal RNA", at positions 28 to 507 of the family's 1533-position model. The record is from RNAcentral.